This 2081-nucleotide ribosomal RNA is filed under the name human metagenome. RNAcentral describes it as "bacterial LSU rRNA". It matches the Rfam family "Bacterial large subunit ribosomal RNA", at positions 216 to 2325 of the family's 2925-position model. The record is from RNAcentral.
AAAGAAAAAUCGAUUUCCUAAGUAGCGGCGAGCGAAAAGGAAAGAGCCCAAACCAAUGUGCUUGCAUAUUGGGGUUGUAGGACUCUCAACAAAGUGUAUGACAAAGUAUAGUAGAACUAGCUGGAAAGUUAGACCGUAGAAGGUAAAAGUCCUGUAUACGAAAUGCUAAGUUGGCGUGAGAGAGCACCUGAGUACGGCGGAACACGAGGAAUUCCGUCGGAAUCUACCAGGACCAUCUGGUAAGGCUAAAUACUACCUAGUGACCGAUAGUGAACCAGUACCGUGAGGGAAAGGUGAAAAGAACCCCGGGAGGGGAGUGAAAGAGAACCUGAAACCGUGUGCUUACAAGUAGUCAGAGCCCCAUGAGGGUGAUGGCGUGCCUUUUGUAGAAUGAACCGGCGAGUUACUUUAUCAUGCGAGGUUAAGUGGAAGACAUGGAGCCGAAGCGAAAGCGAGUCUUAAUAGGGCGAAAUAGUAUGAUGGAGUAGACCCGAAACCAAGUGAUCUACCCAUGGCCAGGUUGAAGUUUAGGUAACACUGAAUGGAGGACCGAACCAGGACACGUUGAAAAGUGUUUGGAUGAGCUGUGGGUAGCGGAGAAAUUCCAAUCGAACUUGGAAAUAGCUGGUUCUCUCCGAAAUAGCUUUAGGGCUAGCCUCGUUGUGAGUUUACUGGAGGUAGAGCACUGUUUGGACUAGGGGCCCAUCCCGGGUUACCGAAUUCAGACAAACUCCGAAUGCCAGAUAAAUAUCAACGGGAGUCAGACUGCGGGUGAUAAGGUUCGUAGUCGAAAGGGAAACAGCCCAGACCGCCAGCUAAGGUCCCAAAUUGUAUGUUAAGUGGAAAAGGAUGUGAUGAUGCACAGACAACCAGGAUGUUGGCUUAGAAGCAGCCACCAUUUAAAGAGUGCGUAAUAGCUCACUGGUCGAGUGACAUCGCGCCGAAAAUGUACCGGGGCUAAACAUACAACCGAAGCUGCGGAUAUAACUAAUGUUAUAUGGUAGGAGAGCGUUCUAACAUCAUAGAAGCUGAGCUGUAAGGCGAGGUGGAGAGGUUAGAAGUGAGAAUGCCGGUGUGAGUAGCGAAAGAUAGGUGAGAAUCCUAUCCACCGAAAGACUAAGGUUUCCAGAGGAAGGCUCGUCCGCUCUGGGUAAGUCGGGACCUAAGGUGAAGCCGAAUGGUGAAGCCGAUGGACAACAGGUAGAAAUUCCUGUACCACCAAAUAUCGUUUGAGAGAAGUGGGGACAGAGGAGGCUAAUUGAUCGUCCUGAUGGAAUAGGACGUCUAAGCACAAAGGUUGAGUAGUAGGCAAAUCCGCUGCUCAUAAGACUGAAGUGUGAUGGGGAGCGAAAUAUAGUAGCGAAGUCAAUGAAGCCAAACUCUCAAGAAAAGCCGCUAUCGAGAUAAGAGGUGCCCGUACCGCAAACCGACACAGGUAGUUGGGAAGAGAAUUCUAAGGUGAGCGAGAGAACCAUCGUUAAGGAACUCGGCAAAAUGACCCCGUAACUUCGGGAGAAGGGGUGCCUACGAGAGUAGGCCGCAGUGAAUAGGCCCAAGCGACUGUUUAACAAAAACACAGGUCUCUGCAAAACCGUAAGGUGAAGUAUAGGGGCUGACGCCUGCCCGGUGCUGGAAGGUUAAGAGGAGUGCUUAGCGUAAGCGAAGGUAUGAAUUGAAGCCCCAGUAAACGGCGGCCGUAACUAUAACGGUCCUAAGGUAGCGAAAUUCCUUGUCGGGUAAGUUCCGACCCGCACGAAAGGCGUAACGAUUUGGGCACUGUCUCAACGAUGGACUCGGUGAAAUCAUAGUACCUGUGAAGAUGCAGGUUACCCGCGACAGGACGGAAAGACCCCAUGGAGCUUUACUGUAGCUUGAUAUUGAAUUUUGAUGCAGUAUGUACAGGAUAGGUAGGAGCCUAAGAAUCAUGCACGCCAGUGUAUGAGGAGGCGCUGUUGGGAUACUACCCUUGCUGUAUUGAAAUUCUAACCCUCGGCAAAGACCGGGAGACAGUGUCAGGUGGGCAGUUUGACUGGGGCGGUCGCCUCCCAAAGAGUAACGGAGGCGUUCAAAGGUUCCCUCAG